AACAAGGCGUACCUGCGGACCUGCGGAGGGAUCAUUACCGAGUUUACAACUCCCGAACCCCUGUGAACAUACCACUUGUUGCCUCGGCGGAUCAGCCCGCUCCCGGUAAAACGGGACGGCCCGCCAGAGGACCCCUAAACUCUGUUUCUAUAUGUAACUUCUGAGUAAAACCAUAAAUAAAUCAAAACUUUCAACAAUGGAUCU
This 204-nucleotide unclassified non-coding RNA is filed under the name soil metagenome. RNAcentral's name for it is "partial contains 5.8S ribosomal RNA, internal transcribed spacer 2, and large subunit ribosomal RNA". The record is from RNAcentral.